This 27-nucleotide non-coding RNA is filed under the name Mus musculus (house mouse). Lineage: Eukaryota; Metazoa; Chordata; Mammalia; Rodentia; Muridae. The record is from RNAcentral.
UGGAGUCUUUUGGAUGAGUUUUGUGGA